GGGUCUAGCAUAAUAAACUUAUGACUUGAAGAAUGAUGAUGACAUAAAAAUCAUGUUCCAAAGAAUAAUGCUGAGGCCC
Small nucleolar RNA from Onychomys torridus (southern grasshopper mouse), 79 nucleotides. RefSeq annotates it as small nucleolar RNA SNORD115. NCBI's taxonomy places the organism in Eukaryota, Metazoa, Chordata, Mammalia, Rodentia, Cricetidae. The transcript has a single exon. The record is from RefSeq and is a predicted model, not a curated record.